RNAcentral lists this ribosomal RNA (468 nucleotides) under uncultured bacterium. Its description in RNAcentral is "partial 16S ribosomal RNA". It matches the Rfam family "Bacterial small subunit ribosomal RNA", at positions 29 to 508 of the family's 1533-position model. The record is from RNAcentral.
ACGCACGCUGGCGGCGUGCUUAACACAUGCAAGUCGCACGGAAAGGCCCUGCUUUUGUGGGGUGCUCGAGUGGCGAACGGGUGAGUAACACGUGAGUAACCUGCCCUUGACUUUGGGAUAACUUCAGGAAACUGGGGCUAAUACCGGAUAGGAGCUCCUGCUGCAUGGUGGGGGUUGGAAAGUUUCGGCGGUUGGGGAUGGACUCGCGGCUUAUCAGCUUGUUGGUGGGGUAGUGGCUUACCAAGGCUUUGACGGGUAGCCGGCCUGAGAGGGUGACCGGCCACAUUGGGACUGAGAUACGGCCCAGACUCCUACGGGAGGCAGCAGUGGGGAAUAUUGCACAAUGGGCGGAAGCCUGAUGCAGCAACGCCGCGUGCGGGAUGACGGCCUUCGGGUUGUAAACCGCUUUCGCCUGUGACGAAGCGUGAGUGACGGUAAUGGGUAAAGAAGCACCGGCUAACUACGUGC